Molecule: ribosomal RNA, 765 nt
Filed under: uncultured Streptococcus sp.
Lineage: Bacteria; Bacillati; Bacillota; Bacilli; Lactobacillales; Streptococcaceae
Description: bacterial SSU rRNA
Rfam family: Bacterial small subunit ribosomal RNA
Source: RNAcentral
GACGAACGCUGGCGGCGUGCCUAAUACAUGCAAGUAGAACGCUGAAGAGAGGAGCUUGCUCUUCUUGGAAGAGUUGCGAACGGGUGAGUAACGCGUAGGUAACCUGCCUUGUAGCGGGGGAUAACUAUUGGAAACGAUAGCUAAUACCGCAUAACAAUGGGUGAUCCAUGUCAUUCAUUUGAAAGGGGCAACUGCUCCACUACAAGAUGGACCUGCGUUGUAUUAGCUAGUAGGUGAGGUAACGGCUCACCUAGGCGACGAUACAUAGCCGACCUGAGAGGGUGAUCGGCCACACUGGGACUGAGACACGGCCCAGACUCCUACGGGAGGCAGCAGUAGGGAAUCUUCGGCAAUGGGGGCAACCCUGACCGAGCAACGCCGCGUGAGUGAAGAAGGUUUUCGGAUCGUAAAGCUCUGUUGUAAGUCAAGAACGAGUGUGAGAGUGGAAAGUUCACACUGUGACGGUAGCUUACCAGAAAGGGACGGCUAACUACGUGCCAGCAGCCGCGGUAAUACGUAGGUCCCGAGCGUUGUCCGGAUUUAUUGGGCGUAAAGCGAGCGCAGGCGGUUUGAUAAGUCUGAAGUUAAAGGCUGUGGCUCAACCAUAGUUCGCUUUGGAAACUGUCAAACUUGAGUGCAGAAGGGGAGAGUGGAAUUCCAUGUGUAGCGGUGAAAUGCGUAGAUAUAUGGAGGAACACCGGUGGCGAAAGCGGCUCUCUGGUCUGUAACUGACGCUGACGCUCGAAAGCGUGGGGAGCGAACAGG